Molecule: ribosomal RNA, 939 nt
Filed under: uncultured beta proteobacterium
Lineage: Bacteria; Pseudomonadati; Pseudomonadota; Betaproteobacteria
Description: bacterial SSU rRNA
Rfam family: Bacterial small subunit ribosomal RNA
Source: RNAcentral
UGCAAGUCGAGCGGCAGCGCGGGGCAACCUGGCGGCGAGCGGCGAACGGGUGAGUAAUGCAUCGGAACAUGUCCAUUCGUGGGGGAUAGCCCGGCGAAAGCCGGAUUAAUACCGCAUACGCCCGAGAGGGGAAAGCCGGGGACCGCAAGGCCUGGCGCGAAUGGGUUGGCCGAUGCCCGAUUAGCUAGUUGGUGAGGUAAUGGCUCACCAAGGCGAUGAUCGGUAGCUGGUCUGAGAGGAUGAUCAGCCACACUGGGACUGAGACACGGCCCAGACUCCUACGGGAGGCAGCAGUGGGGAAUUUUGGACAAUGGGGGCAACCCUGAUCCAGCCAUUCCGCGUGAGUGAAGAAGGCCUUCGGGUUGUAAAGCUCUUUUGUCCGGAACGAAACGGUUGUGGUGAAUAGCCACGACUACUGACGGUACCGGAAGAAUAAGCACCGGCUAACUACGUGCCAGCAGCCGCGGUAAUACGUAGGGUGCGAGCGUUAAUCGGAAUUACUGGGCGUAAAGCGUGCGCAGGCGGUUUUGUAAGCCAGAUGUGAAAGCCCCGGGCUUAACCUGGGAAUGGCAUUUGGGACUGCAAGGCUUGAGUGCGGCAGAGGAGACUAGAAUUCCUGGUGUAGCAGUGAAAUGCGUAGAUAUCAAGAGGAAUACCGAUGGCGAAGGCAGGUCUCUGGGCUGACACUGACGCUCAUGCACGAAAGCGUGGGGAGCAAACAGGAUUAGAUACCCUGGUAGUCCACGCCCUAAACGAUGUCGACUGGUUGUUGGGGGUUUGACACUCUCAGUAACGAAGCUAACGCGUGAAGUCGACCGCCUGGGGAGUACGGCCGCAAGGUUAAAACUCAAAGGAAUGACGGGGACCCGCACAGCGUGGAUUAUGUGGAUUAAUUCGAUGCAACGCGAAAAACCUUACCUACCCUUGACUGUCCGAGAG